CCCUUAGAUGCUCUGGGCCGCACGCGCGCUACACUGAUGCAUUCAACGAGUCUAAAACCUGCUCUGAUAGGGGUGGGUAAUCUUUUGAAUGUGCAUCGUGAUUGGGAUAGAUGAUUGCAAUUUUUCAUCUUCAACGAGGAAUGCCUAGUAAACGCAAGUCAUCAGCUUGCAUUGAUUACGUCCCUGCCCUUUGUACACACCGCCCGUCGCUCCUACCGAUUGAAUGAUCCGAUGAAUAUCAUGGAUUGAGGAUGUAAGCAGGUUCGCCUGUCUUCAUCUUCGAGAAGUGAAGUAAAUCUUAUCAUUUAGAGGAAGGAGAAGUCGUAACA
This 329-nucleotide ribosomal RNA is filed under the name uncultured eukaryote. Its description in RNAcentral is "partial 18S ribosomal RNA". It matches the Rfam family "Eukaryotic small subunit ribosomal RNA", at positions 1470 to 1796 of the family's 1831-position model. The record is from RNAcentral.